CGUACGGGUAAACCGCGAAUGGCUCAUUAAAUCAGUCGAGGUUCCUUAGAUGACACGACCGCUUACUCGGAUAACUGUGGCAAUUCCAGAGCUAAUACGUGCAUUUAAAGCCCUGACCCCCGCGAGGGGGGAGGGGCGCUUUUAUUAGUUCAAAACCGGCGGCGCUCUCCGUUCACGCGGGGGGCGCCCUCCCCUUGAUGACUCUGGAUAACUUUGAGCUGAUCGCACGGCCUUCGUGCCGGCGACGCAUCUUUCAAAUGUCUGCCCUAUCAAAUGUCGACGGUACGUGACAUGCCUACCGUGUUGGCGACGGGUAACGGGGAAUCAGGGUUCGAUUCCGGAGAGGGAGCACGAGAAACGGCUACCACAUCCAAGGAAGGCAGCAGGCGCGCAACUUACCCACUCCCGGCACGGGGAGGUAGUGACGAAAAAUAACAAUACGGGACUCUUCAUGAGGCCCCGUAAUUGGAAUGAGCGCAGUCUAAACCCUUGAGCGAGGACCCAUUGGAGGGCAAGUCUGGUGCCAGCAGCCGCGGUAAUUCCAGCUCCAAUAGCGUAUAUUAAAGUUGUUGCAGUUAAAAAGCUCGUAGUUGGAUCUCGGGCGCAGGCGGGCGGUCCGGCUCGCGCCGGCUCACCGCCCGUUCCCCUGCCCCACCCCUGCCGGCUCCCUCCCGGUGGUGCUCUUGGUUGAGCGUCCCGGGCGGCCGGCGCGUUUACUUUGAAAAAAUUAGAGUGUUCAAGGCGGGCCCGGCGUGCCCGAAUAACUGCGCAUGGAAUAAUGGAAUAGGACCUCGGUUCUAUUUUGCUGGUUUUCGGAAUCCGAGGUAAUGAUUGACGGGGACAAACGGGGGCAUUCGUAUUGCGGCGUUAGAGGUGAAAUUCUUGGAUCGCCGCAAGACGGGCUACUGCGAAAGCAUUUGUCAAGAAUGUUUUCAUUAAUCAAGAACGAAAGUCAGAGGCGCGAAGACGAUCAGAUACCGUCGUAGUUCUGACCAUAAACGAUGCCGACCGGCGAUCCGCGGGAGUUGAUUCUAUGACUCCGCGGGCGGCCUCCGGGAAACCUGAGUCUNNNNNAGCCUGCGGCUUAUUUGACUCAACACGGGAAAACUCACCCGGUCCGGACACCGCGAGGAUUGACAGAUUGAUAGCUCUUUCUUGAUUCGGUGGGUGGUGGUGCAUGGCCGUUCUUAGUUGGUGGAGCGAUUUGUCUGGUUGAUUCCGAUAACGAACGAGACUCUGGCCUGCUAAAUAGGCCGCCGGUUUCCGCGCGACCCGGCGCUCGGUGAUUCGUCGCCGGCGCUCGGGCACCUCGCGCGCGCCGGCGGGACUUCUUAGAGGGACAAGCGGCGUUUAGCCGCGCGAGAUUGAGCAAUAACAGGUCUGUGAUGCCCUUAGAUGUCCGGGGCCGCACGCGCGCUACACUGAAGGGAUCAGCGUGGCCGCCCCCCUGGCCCGAGAGGGCUGGGAAACCCGUUGAAUCCCCUUCGUGCUAGGGAUCGGGGCUUGUAAUUAUUCCCCGUGAACGAGGAAUUCCCAGUAAGCGCGGGUCAUAAGCCCGCGUUGAUUACGUCCCUGCCCUUUGUACACACCGCCCGUCGCUACUAUCGAUUGAGCGGUUCAGUGAGGGCAUCGGAUCGGUCGCGGCCUGGGGUUCGCGCCCCGGCGCCCGCGCGCCGAGAAGACGCUCGAACUCGAUCGCUGGAGAAAG
RNAcentral lists this ribosomal RNA (1708 nucleotides) under Dendrodoris fumata. Its description in RNAcentral is "SSU rRNA". It matches the Rfam family "Eukaryotic small subunit ribosomal RNA". Lineage: Eukaryota; Metazoa; Mollusca; Gastropoda; Nudibranchia; Dendrodorididae. The record is from RNAcentral.